GUUUUUGCCGUUGUAAAUAUCGGUACAUUUUUUUAUUGUGACGACUAAUCAUAUUUUUACCGAUAAGAAAUAGAGUCACAUGGUUUACGAAGAAAAUAUUUACAUUGAUAUCUAUUGAUCAUACUCGGAUAGUAAAUUGUAUAUCAGAAAUUUUAUCGGAUUUUAUGUAGCGACGGAUAUAAGUAUAAAGGACAUAUAUAAUUACAACAAACAGAACCGUCAUCAUUUACAAAAUUUCUACUAGGAAGCAUUCAUAAGACACGAAAGGCUCUGGCUAUUACGAAGUUUUCCGCAUCAGCUAGACCGGUAAAAUCGACUCUCGAGGAAUGUGUCUACGUCUUAUACUCAAGGACGGAAAGAUCGUGAGAGCCAUUUCGCGUAACUUUGCGGGAGCGCAAAAAUUUUCACUCGCGGAAGGGACGCGGUCGCGCGAGCCUCAAUUACGCGCUGCAUUGCUCGCAUAGUCCCGGUUCCUCUAACCCUAUUAUCAACAGAGCGAGUCGUAAAGAUAAUAUCGUUUCAUUAAAGAGCUGCGGCACAAAUAUAGAUACGAGUAGCGGAGAACAGCCAGUCACGUACCAAUUACGCGACUGAGAACUUCCAUUCCCGAGAAGCCGGGCGAGAGAUAGCUUGUCGUACGGUGAUAAUUGCAUUAUCGUCGCGAUACAUUCGAACUAUAUAAUGAUACGAUGGUAUCGUUAUUGAGAAAUUUGCUUAAAGAAAUUAAAUAUUUGUCACACGACAUAUUUGCGCAAAUCGAGAGCGCACUUAAAAAAAUUGCCACAAAUUAUAGUUUUAUUUAAAUGGUCUAAAGUGUAAACACACAUUAUAUGAAGGUUUUAGAAUAAUGUUUUACUUGUUAUGUAUUUAGAAAUAUAAUAUAUGAUUUCUUCUUUCACUU
This is a long non-coding RNA of Wasmannia auropunctata (little fire ant), 901 nucleotides long. RefSeq lists it as uncharacterized. NCBI's taxonomy places the organism in Eukaryota, Metazoa, Arthropoda, Insecta, Hymenoptera, Formicidae. The record is from RefSeq and is a predicted model, not a curated record. The transcript is spliced from 2 exons.